GUGAGGAAUUUUGCGCAAUGGGAGAAAUCCUGACGCAGCAACGCCGCGUGGGUGAAGAAGGCCUUCGGGUCGUAAAGCCCUGUCGGGUGGGAAGAAAUCCCGGGGGAAGAAUAUACUUUCGGGUUGACGGUACCACCAAAGGAAGCACCGGCUAACUCCGUGCCAGCAGCCGCGGUAAUACGGAGGGUGCGAGCGUUAUUCGGAAUUACUGGGCGUAAAGCGCGUGCAGGCGGGUGGACAAGUCUGAUGUGAAAGCCCCGGGCUCAACCUGGGAAGUGCAUUGGAAACUGUUCAUCUUGAGUGCUGGAGAGGAAGGGGGAAUUCCCGGUGUAGAGGUGAAAUUCGUAGAGAUCGGGAGGAAUACCAGUGGCGAAGGCGCCCUUCUGGACGGCAACUGACGCUGAGACGCGAAAGCGUGGGGAGCAAACAGGAUUAGAUACCCCAGUAGUCC
RNAcentral lists this ribosomal RNA (451 nucleotides) under uncultured bacterium. RNAcentral describes it as "bacterial SSU rRNA". It matches the Rfam family "Bacterial small subunit ribosomal RNA", at positions 354 to 796 of the family's 1533-position model. The record is from RNAcentral.